Molecule: transfer RNA, 90 nt
Filed under: Acidobacteriota bacterium
Lineage: Bacteria; Pseudomonadati; Acidobacteriota
Also listed under: 1 other name
Description: Acidobacteria bacterium tRNA-Ser
Rfam family: tRNA
About the family: Transfer RNA (tRNA) molecules are approximately 80 nucleotides in length. Their secondary structure includes four short double-helical elements and three loops (D, anti-codon, and T loops). Further hydrogen bonds mediate the characteristic L-shaped molecular structure. tRNAs have two regions of fundamental functional importance: the anti-codon, which is responsible for specific mRNA codon recognition, and the 3' end, to which the tRNAs corresponding amino acid is attached (by aminoacyl-tRNA synthetases). tRNAs cope with the degeneracy of the genetic code in two manners: having more than one tRNA (with a specific anti-codon) for a particular amino acid; and 'wobble' base-pairing, i.e. permitting non-standard base-pairing at the 3rd anti-codon position.
Source: RNAcentral
GGUGAGGUGGCCGAGAGGCUGAAGGCGCCGGUUUGCUAAACCGGUGAGGGGGAAACUCCUCCCAGGGUUCGAAUCCCUGCCUCACCGCCA